AUACGGAGGAUGCGAGCGUUAUCCGGAUUUAUUGGGUUUAAAGGGUGCGUAGGCUGUGCGUUAAGUCAGGGGUGAAAUGCCGUCGCUCAACGACGGAGCUGCCCUUGAUACUGGCGUGCUGGAGUACGGAUGCCGUUGGAGGAAUGAGUGGUGUAGCGGUGAAAUGCUUAGAUAUCACUCAGAACACCGAUUGCGAAGGCAUCUGACGAAUCCGUCACUGACGCUGAGGCACGAAAGCGUGGGGAUAGAACAGGAUUAGAUACCCUGGUAUCCCACGCCGUAAACGAUGAUGACUAACCGUCGGCGAUAGACAGCCGGUGGCCAAGCGAAAGCGAUAAGUCAUCCACCUGGGGAGUACGUCGGCAACGAUGAAACUCAAAGGAAUUGGCGGGG
Molecule: ribosomal RNA, 393 nt
Filed under: uncultured bacterium
Lineage: Bacteria
Description: partial 16S ribosomal RNA
Rfam family: Bacterial small subunit ribosomal RNA
Source: RNAcentral